GGGAAGGUGGCUCAGUGGUAGAGCAUUUGCCUUGCAUGCUAGAGGCCCUGGGUUUGAUUCCUCAGCCCCA
This is a non-coding RNA of Dipodomys ordii (Ord's kangaroo rat), 70 nucleotides long. Lineage: Eukaryota; Metazoa; Chordata; Mammalia; Rodentia; Heteromyidae. The record is from Rfam.